RNAcentral lists this long non-coding RNA (1580 nucleotides) under Equus asinus (donkey). RNAcentral's name for it is "lncRNA (ENSEASG00005037390.1)". Lineage: Eukaryota; Metazoa; Chordata; Mammalia; Perissodactyla; Equidae. The record is from RNAcentral.
GGGAAUAUUAAUCUGCAACUCCAGGGCUUUCUGUCAUCUGUUUCCUAAAUAAAUAGCUUUCAAGUGAAAUUGUUGUGGAUGGAAGACCUUCAAGGGUUGUAUCACCUGACAUUUAGUUAAUGCAUUUCUUAAGGGAAGUCUCCAUUUCUCUCCUUGAGUCUUGUUCUUCUCUAUUGCAUCCUGGGCAGGUCGAUAUAAGACAAACAUUUUCAUUUCUUCUGCAUUCUAAAAGGUCAAAAUGAUAACAAAAUCAGAAAUAGAACCCACAUCUUUGGCUUUAUUGCAGAUCUCAUCCUACUUAACUUUUAUCCCUUGGCGCCUUGUUCUGUUGGCUGGGCUUAUAGACAACUAUCUUGAAAUAAGCAGCUCUCAGCCUCUUUCUUUGCAGCUCACCCUUCUUGAUUCAUGUCAUACCAGCUUGGUAGGGUGACUCCUAAACUAUAACAACAAGAAUAGUAAACUUAAUUUUAUAUAGGAUCCUUCAUACAGCGCCAUUACAAAACGCUUUGCCAAUUUAAGAGUUGUAGAAUUACAAAGCAGCGCUAUCGAAUUAAAUAAGUAACAGCUGAUACUAAUAAUUAGCUUAAUUUAUGGUCUAGCAGAACUGUCACAACUGAGGCAGCUCUCCCUCCGCCUCUCAUCUCCCUCUCUUUUCUUCCUUCAUCCCUCCUCCUUUGGCAAUGGCAACCAAGUGAAGUGCUGAGAUUGUCACAUUAGUCAUCAGAAAGUCAAGUCACUUCUUCCUUUACUCGGUAGCUUUACGACCUUGUUAUAUCAAGAAUUUUCAACCUUUUUGGAAUUGCUCCACCCCUUCAUGAAGAAAUAUGGGCUUUCUCUACCAUCAAAAUAACGUAACCUGGGGACCAAACUCUGCAGAGCUGCUCUUUGUGGGAAGAGAUCUGUCAGUUUUCCUGAAGAUGAGCUUGUCUACUAUGAAAGAAAAUCAGUGCUCUUUAACUGUGGACUAAACCAAGACAGAUGUCCAGUUCUUGCCUCUUCCCACCAUGUAGUCUUCCUGAUUUUGUUUGGUUGAUACUACCACCAAAACAGGAGCCUUCCUGGGGCCCGCCUGGUGGCGCAGCAGUUAAGUGUGCACGUUCUGCUUUGGCGGCCCGGGAUUCACCUGUUCGGAUCCUGUGUGCAGACCUACGCACGACUUAUCAAGCAAUGCUGUGGCAGGCCUCCCACAGAUAAAGUAGAGGAAGGUGGGCACAGAUGUUAGCUCAGGGCCAGUCUUCCUCAACAAAAAGAAGAGGAUUGGCGGCAGAUGUUAGCUCAGGGAUAGUCUUCCUCAAAAAUAAAGAAAAAAAAUAAACAGAAGCCUUCCUGAUGACUGUCCUCCGAGUCUUACUGCCCUGCAAUAUCUGCUAGAGAAGUAAUUCAUUGUGGAAAACCAUAUUUGACAAAGGAAUAGGAAAUUUCCUUCUGCAGAAAGUUCUUUGGUUUUACCCUUUGCUUUCCCAGAUUGCAUACAGGCAUUUUAGAUUCUUCAAUUUAAAGAGGGUCUAAAUCCCUCUCUAAGAGUGAGAAUCUGCCAAACAGGAUUUUAAAUACCAGUGGUGCCACUUACUUGCUACAAG